AUGUUGACUCAUUCUUCUCUAAUCAUAGCAAUUAGGUUCAAAUCCUGGAGUCCACAGGAGAGGGCUCUUUUUGGUCCCGAAUAUCCUGAAUGUCUGAGAAGCAAGGACUGCCUGCUUGUUACUCUGGAUCGUCAAGUGUCUGGUUCAGACCCCUUCCUGUGGGAGAUGGGAAAGAACUCGGUGCUUAGGACUGAACCUGGCCAGCCAGGGUGCUGCACAGCGAGAGGCUUGUCAUGAGAGGACAGACGCUGUUUCCAACUUCGUCCCAGCUUCGCUUUUCACAGGCCAUCGAAACUGAGAACAGUCUUGUUCCACAUGACAACCAGGACAGGUCACAGGUAUGGCUGUAGUAUGGCAAGAUCACAGUGCCCGGGGACAU
This 379-nucleotide long non-coding RNA is filed under the name Fukomys damarensis (Damara mole-rat). RNAcentral describes it as "lncRNA (ENSFDAG00000026863.1)". Lineage: Eukaryota; Metazoa; Chordata; Mammalia; Rodentia; Bathyergidae. The record is from RNAcentral.